Non-coding RNA from Zootermopsis nevadensis, 245 nucleotides. The record is from RefSeq and is a predicted model, not a curated record. Lineage: Eukaryota; Metazoa; Arthropoda; Insecta; Blattodea; Termopsidae.
CAUCGCUGCGGUCAACAAGGAGUUUACACUCACGGCUGGCAAGUUUGUUCCAGUCUCCAACAAGACCAUGAUGAAUAUGAUGAAUCAGACACUGUCCUUCUUCAUGUUUCUUCUGCAGAUGAAGGACAAAAGUACAGACACCAGUCAGGGAGCAUGACAUUAGAGAUUCUUAACGUAAAGUAGAGCAGUAGUUAUUGUUGUAGUUCUGAUAACCAAUUCAAUAAAACUCAUGUGAUAUAAAUGAA